AACAUCUCCUAAAGCAGCAUCGGCUAAUACCACCGACUCUUGCUCACACAGCUCGUUCUCUGCAGCUGCCGCACAUAGCUAGUGAACGACCAUGGCGUCCCAGGCCAUCGAGAGCCACCGUGCCGGUGCUGAGGUCGUCACCGGAGGAGACGCCAUCUGCAGGAAGAAGUCAAUCGAGCUGCUGGAGGAGCUCGGCCUCCCCAAGGGCUUCCUGCCCCUUGAGGACAUCCAGGAGUUCGGGUACAACCGCGAGACAGGGUUUAUGUGGCUGGUGCAGGGGAAGAAGAAGGUGGAGCACACCUUCAAAAAGAUCAAGCAGACCGUGUCGUACGCCGCUGAGGUGACGGCAUUCGCCGAGAAGGGCAAGCUGAGAAAGAUCACCGGCGUGAAGACGAAGGAGCUGAUGUUCUGGCUCAGCGUCGUCGAGGUGUACGUCCCCGAGGCCUCGCUAGAGAAGGUUACCUUCAAGACUGGCACUGGCCUAUCCGACACCUUCGAUGCCUCUGCCUUUGCGCUGGGAGAGUAAUUAGCAGUCAUAAAAAUGGUUGGCUUCAAAAGACAUGCAUAAUCUAUCUUUUGUAUUUGUAAAAUUUUCAUAUAUAUUGAGAUGAGUUUGUGGUACUCAUGAGCGAUGCCCAUUGAAACAUUUCUAUGAAAUUUCUUGUUUAUCAGAUAGUUUUCUUUUAAAAUAUCUCACUUCAAAACAUUAAAAAUAAACGUCCCCGUAUUCAUAGAUGAGUUUUUAUAUUGGAGCAUAUAGGUACGUAUUUAUUACUGUUGAGUUUGUGAUCCAAAUUCUGAAGAAGGCGGCCAAGUUAGCGAGCGAAGCGGAGGCCCGUCGCCCAAAAGUCGGAGGUAUAGCUAUAUCUAAGGCUACAUACAUACUUGCAAGUAUUAUGCAGUGUGUGAGGCUACAACACCUACCAACUAUGUUGGACACGACAAUGUAGGACAUUGCUAUAGUCAAGCUUGAGGCAGCAGUAUACCAUGAGUACUAUAUAGUGUGUGCACCUAUAGCAACUACCAAAGGCGCUUACAAUACAACAACUAUGAUAAAAUGGGAGUAGUUUGACUUUUGGUGGGUGAGGCACGCCAUCGAGGCAGGAAUGUAACUCUCCACUAUCUUGUGAUAUAAAGAGAAGUCAUAAAGCAACGUAGAAACCAGACACAUUUCCAUUUAGGUCACGAAGGUUGCAUCCAAGUGUCAUGACCAGGGCUAAGAACACACUAGAGUCGCAACUCGCAAGGGCUACUUUAGGUUGCAACCGCCAAAGUCCAGAAGUGUUGAAGUGCAUGUUUCUAGAUCCUCUCGUUAGCUCAGUUAUCAACUAAAUAUGACAACCUUUCGUAUUUGCUUCUAUACAUAUAUCGUACAAAAAAUAUAGGGUAUUACGCUCAGAUGGCCUAAAACUAUUUAUAUGAUAUAUGUGAAAACUAUCGUGUUAGUGUUUUAUGGCUAAGCUUACAUCUUUUCUCUGAUUUUCUUUGGUACCCUUGGUAUCAUGGUGUCGUAUCCCAUGGUAGUAGCCAUCUAGUCUAAUUAAAUAACGGCUCACAAGCAUUUGGGUGUACCACAACAAAGAAGUUAUGUCAAGAUCAAAGCAUACAAGAUUUGCUAAAGGGGAGAGAUUUUGAAAUAAAAUGACAUCAUCUAACAUGUUAAUUACCGUAGCACAAAAGCUGGGCAAAACGUUGUUGAUCUGGCUCAGAUCGUUCGUUGUUGAUUUUGGUAAUCUGGUCAAUCUGGCAGAAAAGAAAUACAAGAAUCUUAUAUCGCAGAUUCUCGAGUUGGCAGCAAAAUGUUAUAAAAAAUUAAUUAUGAGGUGGCGACCUAGAAGGUGGCAGGGGCCAGACACUUGUCAGUCCCCUUAUCCUUUUCUUAGAUGCUUUAUUAACUGUGGGUUGCUUUUGUUUCUUGCUUUCAUCGGGCUAGUGCCCACGAUCUUAGACUUGUUGAUUUAAACCCUUUUAGCCUAUCAUUUUCCUCCUUAUCAAUAUAUUAGGUAGAUUUCCUGCCUAUUUCAGAAAAAGCUGGACAAAGAUUUUUUAAUGUCGGAUCCACACUCUCUAACUCUUCAAGUCAUAGUCUGAAUUGUUGUCUCCUCGUUUAGAGAAACUCCAAUAAUUCUCUAAAUCUUAAAUUUAAAAAGUGAAUAGAAAAACGCUUCUCUAAUAGUUCUUGAAAUGGACUUGCUAAAUUUAGUUAUUUGCUAUCCAACCUCAUUUACUCUCCAGAUUUGGCAGCUCGAUAACAACUCUCUAAACGCAGUUGUCGCCGAUUUCUUCACACCUACGUGUUCAUUUUCCCUUUUCCCACACAACGACUAGCCAGGCCCGACGUGCUCUUUUUGUAUUGUCGCGAGGCAGCCAUGUUCGACACGCAUGAAACAACCUUCUCCUCUGUCGUCACACAAUCGGUCACCCAUAGGUCACGUCACCGGACUAUCACUUCCCAGUGGGAGCAGGUCUAGCAAAACUAAAUUCAACGGGAGUAGGCCUAUGAGAAAUUGUUGGAGGCCAAACUAUUUUUUACUCUCAAUAGCUAUUUAGCAACUUGCUAAACAUAAGUUUAGAGAGCUUUUUAAUAGAGAACUAUUAGAGUUACUGAAAAGGCUAAAACCAAUGUUUCAGUUAAGAAAGCUUUCAAUGCUAACUUCUGCUUAUGUGCCUUUUAGACCACACAUCCUCUUGAGUACAAGGAACACUUAUCUUUCAAGUUCAUGUAAUAGUAAAUGAUGUUUGCCAUCUUUUCAUGUGUGAUGCCAAUACAUGACCGCUAAAACCGCAUGGCUUCUUUAACUGAAACUGUAUUUUUUCCCUCACUGUUUGCAUAGUCAACAACAUCCAAACCUCACCAAUAAUCUACUAUAACAAUUUGUACCACAUCAAACUGUAGCAGUUCUCAACAAACAAAAGCAGAAAAUAAAGGGAGAAAAACGCAGACCACAACAUGUCUGCCCAUGCAUCAAGUGCUGAAAGUGAGUAUUGUAUGUCGCCCGUUGCGUUCUAGAGUCAGGUGAAGACUUGAUUCGACUUCGGCAUUACAGAACUUUCUUAAGUUAAAAAAUGUCCUUUUCUUUCUUAUACUAGUGAGCUUGCUCAGAAGGUAUAUGUUCUGAUUUAAAACAUGAGAAGAGAAGCAGGGCAUAGCAAAAUCCAAAGUUCAGGAGCGUCAAUCUUGACUUCGUUUGCCACAAAAGAAAUUCAGGGGUGGCAAUGUGGACUUUGUCAAAUUCGACGCUCUCUGCCAACGAAGUCAAAUAGGACUGCCCGUCUCUAUAGGAGCUGCAUGCCUAUAUAAAUGUGUUGCAGCCCCUUCUCCCAUCACACAAACAUUUCAUCGCCUCCUAAAGCAGCAUCGGCUACUACCACCGACUCCUGCUCACACAGCUCGUACUGUGCAGCACAUAGCUAGUGAACGACCAUGGCGUCCCAGGCCAUCGAGAACCACCGUGCCGGCGCUGAGGUCGUCACCGGAGACGCCAUCUGCAGGAAGAAGUCAAUCGAACUGCUGGAGGAGCUCGGCCUCCCCAAGGGCUUCCUGCCCCUCGUGGACAUCCAGGAGUUCGGGUACAACCGCGAGACAGGGUUCAUGUGGCUGGUGCAGGGGAAGAAGAAGGUGGAGCACACCUUCAAAAGGAUCAAGCAGACCGUGUCGUACGCCACUGAGGUGACGGCAUUCGCCGAGAAGGGCAAGCUGAGGAAGAUCACCGGCGUGAAGACAAAGGAGCUGAUGCUCUGGCUCAGCGUCGUGGAGGUCUACGUGCCCGAGGCCUCAUCGGAGAAGGUUACCUUCAAGACUGGCACUGGCCUAUCCGACACCUUCGAUGCCUCUGCCUUUGCGCUGGGAGAGUAAUUACCAGCCACAAAAAUGGUUGGCUUCAAAAGACAUGCAUAAUCUAUCUUUUGUAUUUUAAACUUCCAUAUAUCUUGUGAUGAGUUUAUGACCCAUAAUCAAGGGCCGUGCCCAUUGCAGACAUUUCUAUGUAUUUCCUUGUUUAUCAUAUAGUUUUUAAAUAUCUCACUUCAAAACAUUAAAAAUAAAUGUGCUUGUAGUCGUAGCUUACUAGUCGGUUGCCUGUGCGUUGCGACGGCUUACAACAAUAACCACGUAAACUAUCCACAAAAAAAAAAUUCAAGAUUUUUUAUUGAUUAUCUCCGCUCUCCAUAUAGUAUUUUUGAUUUGGCUAACUGAUGUUAUUGUUUACUACAUGCAAUAUGUCUUAGUACAACACGACCAAUGAAGUGAGCGAUUAGAAUAGAGUUCACAACGACUAUAGAUGUUCAAACGGACCGGGCUUGCCGGGCAGCCCGAAACCUGGCACGGGUUUGGCCCGGCACGAACCCGGCACGACACGUAGUGAACCUGGCCCGUGCCGGACCGGCCCAGUCACCGGGUCGUGCCUGGGCCGAAGGCGUGGCACGACGGGCUAGGCCUGACACAGGCCGAUUUUAUUUUUUUAUUUUUUCAUAUAAAUAUAUGUAUUAUAUUUAAUAUAGAGUAUAAAACAAAAGAAACAUGUGUUUUUGUUGGUUAUGUGGGUGUAAAUAAAUGUUUAGAGCUAAUAAAUAUGGUUUAAAUCCUCAAAAAUGCAUACUUUUAGGACAUUUUUAUCAUUUAAACGUCAUAUAUUGUUAUGAGCCCGUUAGGCCCGUCGGGCCCUGGACCGGCCCGACACGAUUAUUAACCUAGCGGGUCGUGCUUGGGCCUCGCUUGGGGCCGUGGGCCGGCACGGCAUGACCCACUAGCUAAUUUGGGCCGAGUCGACACGGUCCUAAUCUGUGUCGGGCCUAGUCGUGCUCGGACCGGUCCGGCACGGCCCGCCCAUUUGGACAUCUAUAACAACGACUGACUAAACGAACAUAGAUUAUAAAAUGACAUAAUUCCACCAUAAAGAGACCAAAUAAGAGAAAGUUUGUGAACUCAAGUUUCUAAAAUAAGUCACAUGAACUCAAACUUAAAAAAAGAUAUAUCAAAAUAUGGAGUGAUUGUUAAAGUCAGACAUCAAUAAAAGCUGGAUGUGCUCCAUAUAAAUAUGCUACUUCGUAGCAAUUACUAACGUUUAAAACCAACAAAUAACCUAUCAUUUUACUGUUAGUGUGACAAAUCAUUGUUGCUCUAUCCAAUUCAGCAACCUCAAACACCAUGAGGUCCAUUGCGACAAUGUGGUCUCAGAAACGACCUAAUGUUUGCAAGAGCCAAGAACGUCAUGUCGUGCUUGGGUUGUAGCCUCGGCCCGUAGUGCUGGCCUGGUCCGACAUGAUUAUAUAUUUUUUUAUUUUACAAAAAACGUAUAUACAUAUAUACAAUUUAUAUUCAAUAUUAAAAAUAUCUGAGCAUUAUGUUCUACUGGUUAGACAACUUCAUCCAGUGUCUCUCGCCUUUCUUCUAUCAGGGCAUGGGUUCAAAUCCCACCUCCUGCACCGUUUUUUAACAUUUUGCGCUGAUUUAAUGGGCCGACGGGCUAACGGGCUAGCCCGGCACAGUCAGCAGGCCGACAUGACGUGCCUGGGCCACAACGCGGGCGUCGGGCCCAUGCCGAGCCGCCGUUUGACCAUCUAUAGGCGUGCAACAAAUUAAUUUGAAAUAGCUGUGAUGGGUUAUUUGUAAAAAGAUAACGUGGGACGACCUUUGAAACUGGUGCUUUAAAUAUAGUAUAGAUAUUGGAGCAGAUGGCUUUGUAUUUAUCACAAGGCUUGUCCUAUUUUUCACCAGUGAUAAUGUUGCGUUCAAAAUCAAUCGUAUAGCUACAUCUAAGGCCACAUACAUACUUGCACGCACUACGUGUGUUGUCUUAGUAAUUCUCAUAAAUGUAAGAGCGGUAGACGGCAAGCUCUGAAAGCUCACGCUCGCGUCGCUCCCACGCGGGGCGACAUAGGUGGCUCCCAAGCCUGCCGCCGCUUUCCCUCUCUUCUCUCCUGCCACGCCGCCGCGGAGCUGGCCACCCGUAUGGCCAUCCGGGCGAUAGGGAUGGUGGCGGCGAGGCUCUCUUCCUCGCGUUGGUGGCGCACCACGCAGCAAGCCGACAAGCCAUCCCUCGCGCUGCUGCGUGGAGUUGACGAGGGUGGCUGCUGCGGCUGUGGCGGCGCCGGCUAGUGCGCCCCCGCAGCUAUAGUGGGACGGCGGCGGGCUCUCUUUCUUUUUUCCCCAUGUGUUCCCCUCCUACUUUCUUGACGGCGGCAACAGCUCAACCUGUGGUCGCUAGCCCUGGCCCAGGCAGUCGAAUCUGAUGCCUGGGGCCGGAUCUGGACCCUGGCGACCGGAUCUGCCUCGGUAGCUGGCAGUAGGUGCGGUGGCGGCCGGUGGCGGUUGCGUUGGAGGCGGCUGGUUGGGGUUUGUGCAAGUGUUGUGGGGCGGCACACUCUUCUUUGCCACCCCUCCCCUCACGGUCUUGACUGCUGUUGUGGUCGAGGCGGCAACCUCCUUCGGCCGGCCAGCCUACGGUGUUCGGGCGGUGGCUUUGACGACAGCCCAGGGUGGUGCUCGCGGUUGUGGUCCGCACGGAGGCGGCGACGUCUGCAGGGGCGCCGAUUUUGGGACCUGCCAUCCAGAUCCGGUGGCCUCAGGGCAGGGGGCGACGCUCGAGAUGGAGGGGCACACGUCCUAUGGUUGUUGGUGGAUGAUGGUGACGACAUCGGCAGGUGCCGUGGCCGACGACGUUGGUCAUUUGUGGCCUCGGCGUGCGGCCUUGUGAAACUGCGAUGGUGGUGGCAUGACGCUUCGCCGUCGGCGUGGCGGUGCUUGAGGUCACACGUUUGUGAGGGGCGACGCCGGCGAGUGGUCGAGAUGGCGCAAGGUGGUGGUGGAGGUGGCAGGGUGUCCGACAACAUCUAGAUUCGGUGGCCGCGUGUGCUAGUGCCAUCGGCUGCCGGGUGCGGCUCUGGCACACGCCUGUGUGACACAUGUGGUAUGGAGGACGGCGACGACAGUAGCUCUUGGCCUGACGUUGGUGCUGGGUCUUCUUGGGCGAGAGCCUCGGCGACGGCGACGCCCGUGGGCACCGCUUCCCCUAUUGGGGGCGUCAUAUUCCUCAUCAUUUUCUUCCUUGGGCGAAAGCCUGGUCCAUCUCGGACUCGCGACGGUGUCGUCCCCAACGUCACUCCCUUUUUGAUGGCGUCACAUUGAAGUUUGUCUCGGCCUCGUCUUCGCCUUCGAUGGUUGCUUUCGAUUCUCGACGUCUGGUAUGCGGGUGAAGAUGGGGCUUUGCAAUGUGAAGUCGAAGCUGUUGCAUCAGGGGUUGUGGCUCAGCAACGAUGACAGCUGACGAGCCCCCUUCUUCGUGGACUGGAUUGUUUCGAAGGGUCAUGGAUCUACUAGGGUAGGACGGAGGUUCAAACUCGUUGGUGAAGAAUCAGAGUUGUCUCACGUGGGGUGUGUUGAGGCUUGGCAACGACGGCGCACACGAUCUUCCUCCUUCUAUACUGGUGUUUGGUUGUAGACGUCGUCGUGUUUUCUUUGGCCAUGUGCGGCCCGUCUUGCGGAAUCAGAGCUGUUUGUCUCUUGGGUCGGGCUCGGCAACGAUAACUCUGAAUGGGUUGUGUGUGAGGGGCUCCUGUUGUCGGGGAUGUUUGUGCAUUCUGUAGGCAGUGACUGUUGUGCCGUGUUGAUGUCCCAAUCUAAUUGGCGAGUUUGGUGUGUUGGUGUCCCAAUCCAACCGUAUGUUGUUUUGUUGCUCUGUUCGAUCCGGACCCUUCUCCUUUAUUAAUAUAAUCAGCAGCUCUCCUGUCUGGCUCGUUUCAAAAAAAAAUGAUAAAUGUCUGAUCUGCACUCUCUAACUCUUCAAGUCAUAGUCUGCAUUGUUGUCUCCUCGUAAAGGACAAAAUCAAUGUUUCAGUUAAGAAAGCUUCCAAUGCUUACUUCUUCUUAUCUACAUUUUAGACCACACAUCCUGUUGAGUACAAGGAACACUCGUCUUUCAAGUUCAUGUAAUAGUAUAGGAUGUUUGUCAUCUUUUCAUGUAUGAUGCUUAUAGAUGACUGCUAAAACUGAAUGGGCUUCUUUAUCUGAAACUGUAAUUUUGUUCUCACUGUUUGCAUAACCAACAGCAUCUAAACCUUACCAACAAUCUACUGUAAUAGGUAUGUACUGCAUGAUACUAAAUAUGCUAAAUCAAUAAUUAUUUUAGGAAAAACGGCAGACCACAACAUGUCUGUGAGUCUGUCCAUGCAUCAAGUGCUGAAAGUGAGUAGCGUCUGACGACCGUUGGGUUCUAGAGUCAGGUGAAGUGUUGAUUCGCCUUCGACAUUGAGAGCGUUGCUUCGAAGACAACAGACCAUAGCUCGACGAAUUGGAUGAUCUUCUCUGUGCUAGACUGGUAGUCGUUCACCGCAUGCCUUCCAUCCAGCUUGUAAGAAUUCCCGGGUUUUCCUCCACGCUAUGUGGAGUGAUCUGUCAUGCUAGAAGGAGAUUUUGUUGCCUCUUGCGGUCUUGCCGUUUCCUACCUUGAUCGAGGCCAGUUAUGAACAGAUGUUAAGUCACCAAGCCGGCGUGUUGUUUGAAGAAUGCUAUAAACUCUGCUUCAAUCAUAAGGGAGAAUGUGAUUCAGUCGAGUAAGAGUGUGCAUUGUUUGACCUCUCUACUGAAUUGUUCUAUUUUUGUUGGCUGGGCUCCAGUGAUUCAUUCGGAUGGAUACGAAGAGAAAUGGUCAAAUUUGUAGUUCAGCGCGCCAAGCUCAGACUUGUAUGAUGGUGUGUAGUAUCUUGUAACUUAAAGAAAUGUAAGAAAAAUGUCCAGUUAUUUUGGAGGAUUCUCAGGACUUUCUUAAGUUAAAAUUUGUAUUUUUCUUUCUCAUACUAGUUAGCUAGCUCAGCAUGUACAUGAGAAGAGAAAUAGGGCAUAGCUAAAUCCAAAAUUCUGGAGCGACAAUCUUAACUUCGUUUGUCACAAAAGAAAUGCAGGGGUGGCAAUAUGGACUUUGUCAAAUGGGACGCACUCUUCCAACGAAGUCAAAUAGGACUGCCCGUCUCUAUAGAAGCCGCAUGCCUAUAUAGAUGUGCAGCUUCUUCUCCGAUCACACAAACAUUUCAUCGCCUCCUAAAGCAGCAUCGGCCACUACCACCGUCUCUUCCUCACCUAGCUAGCGAACGAGAACGACCAUGGCGUCCCAGGCCAUCGAGAGCCACCGUGCAGGCGCUGAGGUCGUCACCGGAGGAGACGCAAUCUGCAGGAAGAAGUCAAUCGAGCUGCUGGAGGAGCUCGGCCUCCCCAAGGGCUUCCUGCCUCUUGAGGACAUCCAGGAGUUCGGGUACAACCGCGUGACAGGGUUCAUGUGGCUGGUGCAGGGGAAGAAGAAGGUGGAGCACACCUUCAAAAAGAUCAAGCAGACCGUAUCGUAUGCCGCUGAGGUGACGGCAUUCGCCGAGAAGGGCAAGCUGAGGAAGAUCACCGGCGUGAAGACAAAGGAGCUGAUGUUCUGGCUCAGCGUCGUCGAGGUGUACGUCCCCGAGGCCUCGCUAGAGAAGGUUACCUUCAAGACUGGCACUGGCCUAUCCGACACCUUCGAUGCCUCUGCCUUUGCGCUGGGAGAGUAAUUAGCAGUCAUAAAAAUGGUUGGCUUCAAAAGACAUGCAUAAUCUAUCUUUUGUAUUUGUAAAAUUUUCAUAUAUAUUGAGAUGAGUUUGUGGUACUCAUGAGCGAUGCCCAUUGAAACAUUUCUAUGAAAUUUCUUGUUUAUCAGAUAGUUUUCUUUUAAAAUAUCUCACUUCAAAACAUUAAAAAUAAACGUCCCCGUAUUCAUAGAUGAGUUUUUAUAUUGGAGCAUAUAGGUACGUAUUUAUUACUGUUGAGUUUGUGAUCCAAAUUCUGAAGAAGGCGGCCAAGUUAGCGAGCGAAGCGGAGGCCCGUCGCCCAAAAGUCGGAGGUAUAGCUAUAUCUAAGGCUACAUACAUACUUGCAAGUAUUAUGCAGUGUGUGAGGCUACAACACCUACCAACUAUGUUGGACACGACAAUGUAGGACAUUGCUAUAGUCAAGCUUGAGGCAGCAGUAUACCAUGAGUACUAUAUAGUGUGUGCACCUAUAGCAACUACCAAAGGCGCUUACAAUACAACAACUAUGAUAAAAUGGGAGUAGUUUGACUUUUGGUGGGUGAGGCACGCCAUCGAGGCAGGAAUGUAACUCUCCACUAUCUUGUGAUAUAAAGAGAAGUCAUAAAGCAACGUAGAAACCAGACACAUUUCCAUUUAGGUCACGAAGGUUGCAUCCAAGUGUCAUGACCAGGGCUAAGAACACACUAGAGUCGCAACUCGCAAGGGCUACUUUAGGUUGCAACCGCCAAAGUCCAGAAGUGUUGAAGUGCAUGUUUCUAGAUCCUCUCGUUAGCUCAGUUAUCAACUAAAUAUGACAACCUUUCGUAUUUGCUUCUAUACAUAUAUCGUACAAAAAAUAUAGGGUAUUACGCUCAGAUGGCCUAAAACUAUUUAUAUGAUAUAUGUGAAAACUAUCGUGUUAGUGUUUUAUGGCUAAGCUUACAUCUUUUCUCUGAUUUUCUUUGGUACCCUUGGUAUCAUGGUGUCGUAUCCCAUGGUAGUAGCCAUCUAGUCUAAUUAAAUAACGGCUCACAAGCAUUUGGGUGUACCACAACAAAGAAGUUAUGUCAAGAUCAAAGCAUACAAGAUUUGCUAAAGGGGAGAGAUUUUGAAAUAAAAUGACAUCAUCUAACAUGUUAAUUACCGUAGCACAAAAGCUGGGCAAAACGUUGUUGAUCUGGCUCAGAUCGUUCGUUGUUGAUUUUGGUAAUCUCGUCAAUCUGGCAGAAAAGAAAUACAAGAAUCUUAUAUCGCAGAUUCUCGAGUUGGCAGCAAAAUGUUAUAAAAAAUUAAUUAUGAGGUGGCGACCUAGAAGGUGGCAGGGGCCAGACACUUGUCAGUCCCCUUAUCCUUUUCUUAGAUGCUUUAUUAACUGUGGGUUGCUUUUGUUUCUUGCUUUCAUCUGGCUAGUGCCCACGAUCUUAGACUUGUUGAUUUAAACCCUUUUAGCCUAUCAUUUUCCUCCUUAUCAAUAUAUUAGGAAGAUUUCCUGCCUAUUUCAGAAAAAGCUGGACAAAGAUUUUUUAAUGUCGGAUCCACACUCUCUAACUCUUCAAGUCAUAGUCUGAAUUGUUGUCUCCUCGUUUAGAGAAACUCCAAUAAUUCUCUAAAUCUUAAAUUUAAAAAGUGAAUAGAAAAACGCUUCUCUAAUAGUUCUUGAAAUGGACUUGCUAAAUUUAGUUAUUUGCUAUCCAACCUCAUUUACUCUCCAGAUUUGGCAGCUCGAUAACAACUCUCUAAACGCAGUUGUCGCCGAUUUCUUCACACCUACGUGUUCAUUUUCCCUUUUCCCACACAACGACUAGCCAGGCCCGACGUGCUCUUUUUGUAUUGUCGCGAGGCAGCCAUGUUCGACACGCAUGAAACAACCUUCUCCUCUGUCAUCACACAAUCGGUCACCCAUAGGUCACGUCACCGGACUAUCACUUCCCAGUGGGAGCAGGUCUAGCAAAACUAAAUUCAACGGGAGUAGGCCUAUGAGAAAUUGUUGGAGGCCAAACUAUUUUUUACUCUCAAUAGCUAUUUAGCAACUUGCUAAACAUAAGUUUAGAGAGCUUUUUAAUAGAGAACUAUUAGAGUUACUGAAAAGGCUAAAACCAAUGUUUCAGUUAAGAAAGCUUUCAAUGCUAACUUCUGCUUAUGUGCCUUUUAGACCACACAUCCUCUUGAGUACAAGGAACACUUAUCUUUCAAGUUCAUGUAAUAGUAAAUGAUGUUUGCCAUCUUUUCAUGUGUGAUGCCAAUACAUGACCGCUAAAACCGCAUGGCUUCUUUAACUGAAACUGUAUUUUUUCCCUCACUGUUUGCAUAGUCAACAACAUCCAAACCUCACCAAUAAUCUACUAUAACAAUUUGUACCACAUCAAACUGUAGCAGUUCUCAACAAACAAAAGCAGAAAAUAAAGGGAGAAAAACGCAGACCACAACAUGUCUGCCCAUGCAUCAAGUGCUGAAAGUGAGUAUUGUAUGUCGCCCGUUGCGUUCUAGAGUCAGGUGAAGACUUGAUUCGACUUCGGCAUUACAGAACUUUCUUAAGUUAAAAAAUGUCCUUUUCUUUCUUAUACUAGUGAGCUUGCUCAGAAGGUAUAUGUUCUGAUUUAAAACAUGAGAAGAGAAGCAGGGCAUAGCAAAAUCCAAAGUUCAGGAGCGUCAAUCUUGACUUCGUUUGCCACAAAAGAAAUUCAGGGGUGGCAAUGUGGACUUUGUCAAAUUCGACGCUCUCUGCCAACGAAGUCAAAUAGGACUGCCCGUCUCUAUAGGAGCUGCAUGCCUAUAUAAAUGUGUUGCAGCCCCUUCUCCCAUCACACAAACAUUUCAUCGCCUCCUAAAGCAGCAUCGGCUACUACCACCGACUCCUGCUCACACAGCUCGUACUGUGCAGCACAUAGCUAGUGAACGACCAUGGCGUCCCAGGCCAUCGAGAACCACCGUGCCGGCGCUGAGGUCGUCACCGGAGACGCCAUCUGCAGGAAGAAGUCAAUCGAACUGCUGGAGGAGCUCGGCCUCCCCAAGGGCUUCCUGCCCCUCGUGGACAUCCAGGAGUUCGGGUACAACCGCGAGACAGGGUUCAUGUGGCUGGUGCAGGGGAAGAAGAAGGUGGAGCACACCUUCAAAAGGAUCAAGCAGACCGUGUCGUACGCCACUGAGGUGACGGCAUUCGCCGAGAAGGGCAAGCUGAGGAAGAUCACCGGCGUGAAGACAAAGGAGCUGAUGCUCUGGCUCAGCGUCGUGGAGGUCUACGUGCCCGAGGCCUCAUCGGAGAAGGUUACCUUCAAGACUGGCACUGGCCUAUCCGACACCUUCGAUGCCUCUGCCUUUGCGCUGGGAGAGUAAUUACCAGCCACAAAAAUGGUUGGCUUCAAAAGACAUGCAUAAUCUAUCUUUUGUAUUUUAAACUUCCAUAUAUCUUGUGAUGAGUUUAUGACCCAUAAUCAAGGGCCGUGCCCAUUGCAGACAUUUCUAUGUAUUUCCUUGUUUAUCAUAUAGUUUUUAAAUAUCUCACUUCAAAACAUUAAAAAUAAAUGU
Molecule: long non-coding RNA, 13053 nt
Filed under: Zea mays
Lineage: Eukaryota; Viridiplantae; Streptophyta; Magnoliopsida; Poales; Poaceae
Description: long non-coding RNA (ZMAY_LNC000667)
Source: RNAcentral